This 18-nucleotide ribosomal RNA is filed under the name Artomyces pyxidatus. Its description in RNAcentral is "partial large subunit ribosomal RNA". RNAcentral also lists the same sequence under 1 other name. Lineage: Eukaryota; Fungi; Basidiomycota; Agaricomycetes; Russulales; Auriscalpiaceae. The record is from RNAcentral.
CUUGACCUCAAAUCAGGC